AUUGAACGCUGGCGGCAUGCCUAACACAUGCAAGUCGAACGAGUGGCGGACGGGUGAGUAAUGUCUGGGAAACUGCCUGAUGGAGGGGGAUAACUACUGGAAACGGUAGCUAAUACCGCAUACCAUCGGAGGUGCCCAUAUGGGAUUAGCUAGUAGGUGGGGUAAAGGCUAACCUAGGCGACGAUCCCUAGCUGGUUUGAGAGGAUGACCAGGCACCCUGGAAAGGAGAAACGGUCCAGACUCCUACGGGAGGUAGCAGUGGGGAAUUUUGGACAAUGGGCGAAAGCCGGAUGCAGCCAUUCCGCGGGUAUGAAGAAGGCCUGCGGGUUGUAAAGUACUUUCAGCGGGGAGGCGUUACCCGCAGAAGAAGCACCGGCUAACUCCGUGCCAGCAGCCGCGGUAAUAC
Molecule: ribosomal RNA, 406 nt
Filed under: uncultured bacterium
Lineage: Bacteria
Description: partial 16S ribosomal RNA
Rfam family: Bacterial small subunit ribosomal RNA
Source: RNAcentral